UACGUAGGGUGCAAGCGUUGUCCGGAAUUAUUGGGCGUAAAGAGCUCGUAGGCGGUCUGUCGCGUCGGCUGUGAAAACCCGGAGCUCAACUCCGGGCCUGCAGUCGAUACGGGCAGACUGGAGUACUGCAGGGGAGACUGGAAUUCCUGGUGUAGCGGUGAAAUGCGCAGAUAUCAGGAGGAACACCGAUGGCGAAGGCAGGUCUCUGGGCAUUAACUGACGCUGAGGAGCGAAAGCAUGGGGAGCGAACAGG
This 253-nucleotide ribosomal RNA is filed under the name uncultured bacterium. RNAcentral's name for it is "partial 16S ribosomal RNA". It matches the Rfam family "Bacterial small subunit ribosomal RNA", at positions 524 to 776 of the family's 1533-position model. The record is from RNAcentral.